This 66-nucleotide transfer RNA is filed under the name Mictyris longicarpus. RNAcentral describes it as "tRNA-Tyr". The record is from RNAcentral. Lineage: Eukaryota; Metazoa; Arthropoda; Malacostraca; Decapoda; Mictyridae.
AGUAAGGUGGCUGAGGAUUAUAGGCGGUAGAUUGUAAAUCUAAGGACGGGUGUUAACCCUUUUACU